This 1012-nucleotide long non-coding RNA is filed under the name Ailuropoda melanoleuca (giant panda). RNAcentral's name for it is "lncRNA (ENSAMEG00000025852.1)". The record is from RNAcentral. Lineage: Eukaryota; Metazoa; Chordata; Mammalia; Carnivora; Ursidae.
AAUUGUUCCUCUACCUUUCUAGGUUUUUGAGUGAAAAAUAAAUUUAAUUACAUACAUAUGUGGUGGGAGCCCCACUGAUAUGAGACUCAAAGAAGUAACCAAAGCAGGGAGAUUUUAUGCCUUUUAGACAAACAAUAAAUUUGUGAAGAAUUGAUAAGACAAAGAGGUUUGGACUAGGUUUGGUAAAAUUGUGAAGAAGUAACAAGUUUUGUUUAUAUAGUAUUCUUGGCCUUAAAUUCCCUAUCUCUGGUGAUAAGGGUGCCUUUUACCCUCUUGGUAUAGGGAGUGUGUUUUCAUGUGAGAGACUUAUUUCCUGCUUUCAGGGGUGCAGAGAGGGUCAAAGUGUCCUGGUACUGGCCGUUUCUCAAGUCCUCUAAUUCAAAAUAAUCAAUAUACCAGAGUGGGGUGUUUUGGGGUUACAUACUCUGGGCCCUUACAGAGAUAACACAUUACUUUCUUUACACAGUAAGGAGUUGAUCGCAUCAGUCUCCACUGCAUGAAAGAACUGAGCAGAAUGAGCUCUGAAUAUUUAUCUUUCGGAGAGGGAGGCAGAGAGCAUUGAAAGAUAUGUGGGAUAGGCAUUGAAAGGGGAUAUGAGAGUCCCAAAAACCAAUAAACGGCUGAGUGGCCCCAUGUGAUUACCAGAAUGUCAUUAAGGGUGAGGCUGGGAGAGAAGGAGAGGCCCCCAAGGGUUCUUUUCUGUCCUAAAGACUCUGAUGACUCUACUUUCUCUGUGGACUUUUGGUACUAGUGCUGCUUCCGGAAGCGAGCCCCCCGUGGACCUACUACCCAGGCAAAUCGCUGACCUCCAAGGAUGUGGAGGGGGAUGUUUGGAAGUGUUCUUUGGGGAAUGAGAGAAAGGCUACGGUGAUGACAUCUUUUUCUCUCAAGGACUUGAGGAGCCCAAGAAUAACCAAAAUUGAGAGUAAACCCAGACAAAAAUAGAUGUCACCAAUUAUUCUCAAGAAGCACUCAAUAAUAAGAUAGAUCAGCAGGCACAAUGAGGAGGUAA